RNAcentral lists this small nuclear RNA (127 nucleotides) under Erinaceus europaeus (western European hedgehog). RNAcentral's name for it is "U4 spliceosomal RNA (ENSEEUG00000021190.1)". It matches the Rfam family "U4 spliceosomal RNA". From Rfam's summary of the family: U4 small nuclear RNA (U4 snRNA) is a component of the major U2-dependent spliceosome. The structure of U4 snRNA from yeast and human has been reported. The record is from Rfam by way of RNAcentral. Lineage: Eukaryota; Metazoa; Chordata; Mammalia; Eulipotyphla; Erinaceidae.
AGCUUUGCUCAGUGGCAGUAUCGUAGUCAAUGAGGUUUAUCCGAGGCGCGAUUAAUGCUAAAUGAAAAAAACUUAUCACUCUGACACAAAUGAUACCAGGGAUUGAAUUUGGACCUCACACUUAUAA